AGAUCAUCAUUGGGCUUAAAGCGUGCGCAGGCGGUUUUGUAAGACAGAGGUGAAAUCCCCGGGCUCAACCUGGGAACUGCCUUUGUGACUGCAAGGCUGGAGUGCGGCAGAGGGGGAUGGAAUUCCGCGUGUAGCAGUGAAAUGCGUAGAUAUGCGGAGGAACACCGAUGGCGAAGGCAAUCCCCUAGGGCCUGCACUGACGCUCAUGCACGAAAGCGUGGGGAGCAAACA
This 231-nucleotide ribosomal RNA is filed under the name uncultured Alicycliphilus sp. RNAcentral's name for it is "partial 16S ribosomal RNA". It matches the Rfam family "Bacterial small subunit ribosomal RNA", at positions 550 to 774 of the family's 1533-position model. Lineage: Bacteria; Pseudomonadati; Pseudomonadota; Betaproteobacteria; Burkholderiales; Comamonadaceae. The record is from RNAcentral.